CAACGCACGGUGGUGAGUGACUGUCCGGGAUGGCAUGAGUGUCUACGACUCUCUAGACAAGGCCCUGAAGGUGCGGGGUCUAAAUCAGGACUGCUGUGUGGUCUACCGACUCAUCAAGGGACGAAAGACGGUCACUGCCUGGGACACAGCCAUUGCUCCCCUGGAUGGCGAGGAGCUCAUUGUCGAGGUCCUUGAAGAUGUCCCGCUGACCAUGCACAAUUUUGUACGGAAGACCUUCUUCAGCCUGGCGUUCUGUGACUUCUGCCUUAAGUUUCUGUUCCAUGGCUUCCGUUGCCAAACCUGUGGCUACAAGUUCCACCAGCAUUGUUCCUCCAAGGUCCCCACAGUCUGUGUUGACAUGAGUACCAACCGCCAACAGUGAGCCCAGCCUGGGGUGGGUGGGGGGAUGGGGAGCACAGAGGCCCAGCCACAAGGCCCUUACAGACAGCUGACCCGUGUCCCCUUGCUUUAU
RNAcentral lists this small RNA (472 nucleotides) under Pan troglodytes (chimpanzee). Its description in RNAcentral is "processed transcript". Lineage: Eukaryota; Metazoa; Chordata; Mammalia; Primates; Hominidae. The record is from RNAcentral.